This 3591-nucleotide long non-coding RNA is filed under the name Heterocephalus glaber (naked mole-rat). RNAcentral describes it as "lncRNA (ENSHGLG00100050889.1)". The record is from RNAcentral. Lineage: Eukaryota; Metazoa; Chordata; Mammalia; Rodentia; Bathyergidae.
GUAGAAAAGUCAAGCUCCCUUACCAUAUCUCUGCUGCCCUAGCCCAGACAGAUUUGUUCCCUCAGGAAUCACAACCUCCUGUGGAGAUGCCCUGGGUACCUGGACUGUGGGUGGGUGAGACAUUUGUCUAUGCUAAGUUGCCCAGACAGCUCUGCACAGAGAGCUGCUGCCAUGCCCACUCAGAUGUUUUGGAGCACCUCUGCUUGUUCCAGCCCUCUACAAGGGGUACAGUUGGGGGAGAAUGUGAGCUAUGACCACUCUAGGUGGAGGGCAACAGAGACUGCUGUGUGGGGAGCUGGGGGAAGAGGAGGUUGGCAAGGCAUCCAGGGAACAGAGGAGCUGGCAGUCAGAUCCCAUCACAGGGAGGCAGGGAGGCAAGGCCACUGGGAUCUGGAGCUCCUUUUGACUGUUCCACUGUGCUGUCAACUUCACAUAGAAAUUACGUGUUCAGAUAGGGUUAUGAAGAACUUCCAGAAGGGGUUCAGGGAACUGGACCCAAACAUAGUCCAUCAGGACAUGGGCUCUUAUGUGACACACUGCUGACCUGGUUACCUGCUAUCUCAGGCUUUUUCAGCUCUGACUACACAUGAAUCACUUUAAGGGCAUUAAAAUACUGAGUCCUGGGCCUUGCCCCAGACUGAUAGAACCAUCUCAGGUGUGGUCCCUGAAUCAGCACAUUAAAGCACCCCUCAGGUAUUCAGGGAUGCAGCAGGGGUGGGGUGGGAGCCAGGGUGUCUCAGAGGGCCCAUGUGACCAGCACUGCUCUGGGCUGAGUGAGAAACUUCCUCCCGUACCAUCCUCAGACCCGAGCUUCCUCCUGGAGAGUGGCAGAGAGUGCAGGUCCACAUUCAGGCUCUGUCUCUCACUAACACUGCACCCCGAGGCCAGGCCCAGGUGUGAGUAGGAUCAUUAAACACACUCCUCUCUUAGGCUCGUUUGACAAUUAGAUGACACACUACGUGCAAAGCACUUGGCACAGUAACUAGCACAUGUUCCAGGCUCAAUGUCUCAGUUAUUGUGGCCACUGGUGCUACUAUCGUUUUUUUCAGAUUUAAAAGGGGAAAUCCUACUUGGCUCUCAGAGACAUCUGUGUGGUCCUGCUGAGUGGGCAGUGUCUGCAGGUGAAGUGCGACAUCGAGUCCACAGCAGGAGCUGUCUUUGAUGCCUUCAUGCCCUUUGCCAACCUUGGAGAUAUCACCUACUUCGGCUCGGCUUAUAUGAAAGGUGGGUGUCUCCGGGAAGCUCACGGCUGGCCUGGUGGCUCCAGCACCCCUGGUAUCCAGUACCUGAGCUCUGUUCGCUCUUGGAAAGCCACUUGAGCCCAGAAUGCCUCACUUUGCACACCUAGAUGUCAGAUGGCAUGGCAAGGGCCUCAAGUGUUUGUGUGGAAAGUGCUAAGUGCGUGUGGAUUAUCAUGAAAUAAUGAGUGUGGACACUAUAGGGUUUUAUGGCUUACAGGUCUGGAUGAUCAAUCUCUGUGCAUUGAAGUCAGGCAGGUAAACCUUAGAAACAUCUAUUUAAUCUGCAGGACUAUGGCACUCCGAACCUGACCCCAGGAGCCGGUAAAAGCUCACUGCAGCCAUCAGAGAGAAAGGGUUUCUGUAUUUUCUUCCCAUCUCUGCCUCUCCAUGAAGGGACUUUUCAUUUUUCUCUACUGCAAAUAUCCUUCUGUGGCAGUUGAAGUCCACUGCCUACUGUGGAGAGAGGCUAAUGGGAAGAGGGCUGAGUUGGAGUUUGUGGGCUUUCAGGUUAAAUCCGGGCUCCAGCACCUGCUUAGCUGUCAGAAGCUCUGUGACCCCCUGUUCUCCUGUGAGUGCAAGAAGCUUGCAAGUUUGUAAUCAUUCAGUGUGCUGCAGAGGGGCUGGCAGAGUGUCCUUGUCUCCUCAUACUUCUCACUAGCUAUCCCAAAAAUGCCUCUCAAAGAAAAGAACAGCCAUUGUGCGUUGUGAAGUGACCACAAUGAGUGGAGGUUUGUCUGAGCUUUCUUAAGGGACGCACAAGUGCAUUUCCGGGAAGCACUGUGUCUUUAUUGGUCUGUAAAGUGUGAUCUAAAUAACAACUGCACAAGUGCAACCCCUGCCUGCUUCCUGCAGCUGUCCCUGAGCCCUGCCUAUGUAGGUGAUUCCUAGAGCUGCUGAGUGAGGAGAGUCUUGGGAAAAUCCCUGAGAAGUGGCCAGCUUAGGCUUUGGACACAGGCCAUCUGGGCAGGGUUUGCCACCUGGACUGUGUUCAGGACCCACCUGUCCCUGGGGGGAGAAGAAACCCUAAGGAGAAGGUGAGUCUGGCAUGGGGAGUCCCAUUUGGCAGCAAAGGGGAGGGCAGAGGAGGGCUGGGCUCUGUGAGAGGGUGGCCAUUAGAACUGCCUGGAUACUUGCUGGCCCUUUAGUGAGCACGUGUCCUGUGGAGAGAAGACCACUACCCCCAGAAGUCCCCGUGGUAUGGAUUGGGUGGGAUUCCCAUGCCUAGUCUGGCUGUUGCAGUGCACAUGGGCUCAGAGAAGGGGGAAAUACUUCAGUUGUGCAGCAGCACAGAGCCAGGGCUGGCCAAGGGAGACCAGGCUCUGAAGGUUAGGACACAUUUGAAAGGGCAAAGGGGUGGGGGUGGUGCUUUCAGUGGCUGGGCUGAUGCCAUCUCCCUCUUAGGAGGACUAGAGGACAAAUCCAAUGGGAGUUGAAGGUUUAAGUUGCGAAUGCAACUCCACUUACACCCAAUCUUUGUCAAUGUGGGCUGCUACCACAAAAUAUCCUAGCCUGGGUGUCCUAAACAAUAGACAUUCAUUUCUCACAGCAGUGUGGGCCAGAAGUCUGAAAUCUGGCUGCUAGCUGGUUCAGCUCCUGAUGAGGACCCACUGGCUUGCAGUCGGAAGCCUUCUCAUGGGUUCUUGCCUGGCAGAGGGAGAGCUCUUUGGUGUCUCUCUUCCUUUGUAUGAGGACUCAGAUCCCAUCCUGGAGCUCACCUUCAUACCUCAUGUACCCCUAAGGUCUCACCUUCAUAUCCCACCAAUUUGGGGGUCAAGUGCUUCGGCAUAUGGAUUCCAGGAGGACUCACAUGUUCGGUCCAGGACACUCUGGGACUGGGAGGUGGGAAUGGUCCCACUGAUGCACUGGUGCAGAAGAGCCUGACACAUGCCAGGGACUUAAGAACACUGCUUUCCAUCACUUUUCAUCUUAUCUACAAAAGAUGAUAGCUGGAAAGCAGAUAUGAAGUGACAGCUCUCCGACAAAAAACACAGUCGUCCCUCAGCACCCACAGUGGAUUGGUUCCAGGACCUCCUCAGACACUAAAAUGUGCAGGCAAUGAGCUCUUUUUCCUGGACUGUGAAACCAGAUUGUGUAAAAUAGCCCCUGAAGGCUGGAGGGAGCAGCCCCUGAAGACCUCUACCAACACCUUCACACUCUUUCUGCGGAUCAAGUUCUUUGCCAGCCACUGUGGGCUGCUUCAGCGAGUGCUGCUCCCUGUCCCCUGGUCCCUUGAGGCUUUCAUGUCUGUCCAGGCUGAUGUCACAGCCUGUGCUUUGCAAAUUACAUGCAAAUGGCAGCAGGGGCCAUCGCUGGUCUUCUGUCAGUGGGAUUCUAGUAUGACAGAACAAGG